CAGUUGUAUUGGUGCUUGGAGUGUCCCUCUAAGUCAGCCUUCUCCAAACUACAACUCCCAUAAUUCUAUGAAUAAAAUAGAUAGGCUGAGAACAUCUGGAGGGCCGGAGUUUGGGGAAGCUUGCUCUAAGUGAAACCCAAGUAUUUUGUUAUUAUUUUAUUUAUAUAGCACCAGCGAAUUCCGUAGCACUGUACAAUAUUCUAUAGUAACUCUACGUCUCUUACAUUAUUCCAUGGAAUGUGCAUGGGCACCAGGAUGCUCUUGGUUUAACUAUUUUUAUACAUCUAGGGUAACUGGAUAUUGAACAGGAUUUGGAAAUGUGCCUUAAAGGGACACUGUACCCAUUUCAUGUCAUUGAAUUGGUUGCAGUACCUGGACUUCCCUGGCACUGUCUCUCCAUUCCCUACGAGAGCUGUGGCUAAGGUAGAUUAUUAAAUACUUCCUUCUAGCCAUACCGAUUCAUUCCAUCAAUAGGCGCUGUGAUAAGCUGAAUGUGGUCAACUGACACUCUCGGCCAAUCACAGCCUCCCAUUGCUGCUCAACCUAAUGCUCCUUGAUUAACCCAAGCCGUACAGAUGGUAUGGUCUCCUGGGGACUCUCGUAUAGAAUUAAAACAUUAAAAAUGGUUUAACGUUUAAUGAAUGGACAGCACUACCAGACCCCAAACACUAUAACCACCUUAAUGAUCAGAAGCAGUUACAGUGCCCCUUUAAUCAUAAACUGAGCAGCUGUAAGCAGCUCCCAAUGGGCUUGCCAAAAUGUAGUACCAAAGGAACCCUACAAGUGGUGAGCAGAUUUCAGUAUCUACUAAUAGUAGUAAUUCUAUGAUCUCCUCC
Non-coding RNA from Pelobates cultripes (western spadefoot toad), 836 nucleotides. Lineage: Eukaryota; Metazoa; Chordata; Amphibia; Anura; Pelobatidae. The record is from the annotation of a GenBank genome assembly.